GCUGUGGUUCAGUGGUAGAGCAUCUGCUUGGCGUUCAAAAGGUCCCAUGUUUGAUCCCUGGCCUCUCCA
Molecule: transfer RNA, 69 nt
Filed under: Sphaerodactylus townsendi
Lineage: Eukaryota; Metazoa; Chordata; Lepidosauria; Squamata; Sphaerodactylidae
Description: tRNA-Ala
Source: RNAcentral